UAUUAAAGUAGUAAUAGUUAUGUUCUUGAAACUUAAAAAAUUUGGCGGUAUUUUAGUCUAUUCAGAGGAACCUGUCCUGUAAUUGAUAAUCCACGUUGGACCUUACUUAAGUUAGUAAUUCAGUUUGUAUACCGUCGUUAUAAGAAUAUUUUAUUAGAAUAAUAAUUUUCUAGAAUUUUUAUAAAAAUUUAUAUCAGAUCAAGGUGCAGCUUAUAUUUAAGAAGAGAUGGGUUACAAUAAAUUUAUUUAUAUGAAUUAAUUUUUGAAAAAGAAUUAUGAAGGUGGAUUUGAAUGUAAAAUUAUAAAGAUUAAUAAUUUGAUUUUAGCUCUAAAAUAUGUACAUAUCGCCCGUCACUCUUAUUAUUAAGGUAAGAUAAGUCGUAACAUAGUAGAUGUACUGGAAAGUGUAUCUAGAAUGCAAUUUAAAGCUUAAAUAGGAAAGCAUUUCAUUUACAUUGAAAAGAUUUUUGUGCAAAUCAAUAUAAAUUGAAUAGAUUUUAUUUAUUAAUAUAUUUAGUUUUUUAUAUUUUAUAUUAGAAAUAACUGUAAAUAAAAUGUUUUAGUAUUUUAUAAAGAAUAAAUAAUUUUUAUAAUAGUUUAUUAGUAUUGUGAAAGAAAAUUGAAAUAAU
RNAcentral lists this ribosomal RNA (629 nucleotides) under Archisepsis sp. LZ-2013. RNAcentral's name for it is "partial 12S ribosomal RNA". The stretch from base 419 to 490 matches the Rfam family "tRNA". Lineage: Eukaryota; Metazoa; Arthropoda; Insecta; Diptera; Sepsidae. The record is from RNAcentral.